UUUGUCUUUGAAGUGCAGAAUUGGAGCUGAGGAGCCCGGAUAGCUGCUGGUUGUAUCACUUGAGUGGACUGAGCUGUAUUACCUUUGAGUUAACCAGUUAUGAUUUAGAGCUACUCAAUUUUUAUGUCUACUAAAUCUUCUCUUUUGUUAGAAUCAGAGUGAAUAACUGAUUGUAAAAUAAAGAUGCUAUGUUCUGUCCAGGACAAACCAGGUACAAAUACUCAGUGGGGGCCAAUGAGAGGCAAGAGAUCUCUGCUUGAAAAAGACAGCUAGUAUUCCGUGGAAGGUAAAGUGCUGUAGUUGAUAAGAGCAUGUUAAAUGCUGGUGAGAUCAGAUAAGAACAGAAGACCAAAUGCUGCACUUACACCUAGAUAAAGUGCAAUUAAUCAUUCAUACUUGACAUAGAAGGAACAUAAAAAGCUUUAUUGUAUUCUUAAAAUCUUAGUCCUUAACUGGUUGCUCUCUAGAACCAUUCACUCAGGCAUCAGUAAUUCAGGGAAAAACAAAACCAACCAAACAAAAAACCCAAGUUUUUACCACAUAGGUUUAUAUUACUGUUGAAUCUACGCAUUAGUCUUCUGUUGUGUAAGGUGUGAGGAAAGCUCAGAAAAUGAGACUGGAUCUGUUGGAUUGAUCUGACCUUCAGAACAGAGGAAAUGAGGAAAGUGGAGACCCAAAGAGACAGAACAGCGCAAUCAGUUUCAGUGGCCAAGAGUUUUUGGAGCAUAAAAUUGUGGAGGAUGUUAUUGUCUGAUAACAGGACACAUGAAAGGCAAGCUUUAUUUCUGAACUUCCUCAGAGCAUGGUGGAGAUCUUUGAGCAAAUACCUGUGGACUCUAAUCACUCUUGAUUAGAUUUAAUUGGUAUAUUGCCGUGCAAAUAUGCUGAUGAAACUAGAAGGCAUCUGAAUACACCUGGAAAAUUGUACAUAAUAAGAGUUUUGGGGGGGAUUAGGUAGUAUUUGAAAGCACUCACUGAGCAGCACAGACCCAAACAUUUCCUGAAGAAUGAGCAUCUAACAGAAACUGUCCUCCCUUUCUUAUCUGCUGAGCUUGUUUUCAGGGUACAUUUAAGCAGCUUUGUCAGUGGGUUAGCACUGCCAUCCCUUUAAUGAUAUAUGCAAGCUUAAAAUAGCUGCUACUAAGGUGCUUCUGAAAUGAAAUUUCUGAAGAGAAAAUGAAAAGCUAAAUACAGUCUGUGAGACUCCAGAGAACAAG
RNAcentral lists this long non-coding RNA (1217 nucleotides) under Coturnix japonica (Japanese quail). RNAcentral describes it as "lncRNA (ENSCJPG00005012808.1)". The record is from RNAcentral. Lineage: Eukaryota; Metazoa; Chordata; Aves; Galliformes; Phasianidae.